UCCAGACUCCUACGGGAGGCAGCAGUGGGGAAUAUUGCACAAUGGGGGAAACCCUGAUGCAGCGAUGCCGCGUGGAGGAAGAAGGUUUUCGGAUUGUAAACUCCUUUUAUCAGGGACGAUAAUGACGGUACCUGAAGAAAAAGCUCCGGCUAACUACGUGCCAGCAGCCGCGGUAAUACGUAGGGGGCAAGCGUUAUCCGGAAUUACUGGGUGUAAAGGGAGCGUAGACGGUGAUGUAAGUCUGGAGUGAAAGGCGGGGGCCCAACCCCCGGACUGCUCUGGAAACUAUGUGACUGGAGUGCAGGAGAGGUGAGCGGAAUUCCUAGUGUAGCGGUGAAAUGCGUAGAUAUUAGGAGGAACACCAGUGGCGAAGGCGGCUCACUGGACUGUAACUGACGUUGAGGCUCGAAAGCGUGGGGAGCAAACAGGAUUAGAUACCCCAGUACUG
Molecule: ribosomal RNA, 448 nt
Filed under: uncultured bacterium
Lineage: Bacteria
Description: bacterial SSU rRNA
Rfam family: Bacterial small subunit ribosomal RNA
Source: RNAcentral